CCUACGGGUGGCUGCAGUGGGGAAUUUUGGACAAUGGGCGCAAGCCUGAUCCAGCCAUGCCGCGUGCGGGAAGAAGGCCUUCGGGUUGUAAACCGCUUUUAUUUGGGAAGAAGGAGUAGAGGCUAAUACCCUUUAUGACGGACGGUACCGGAUGAAUAAGCACCGGCUAACUACGUGCCAGCAGCCGCGGUAAUACGUCGGGUGCGAGCGUUAAUCGGAAUUACUGGGCGGUACGCGUGGUCAGGCGGUAAAGCCCCGGGCUUAACCUGGGAAUGGCGGUUGAAACUCUCGGACUAGAAUCUGGCAGAGGGGGGUGGAAUUCCACGUGUAGCAGUGAAAUGCGUAGAGAUGUGGAGGAACACCGAUGGCGAAGGCAGCCCCCUGGGCUGAGAUUGACGCUCAGGCACGAAAGCGUGGGGAGCAAACAGGAUUAGAUACCCUGGUAGUC
RNAcentral lists this ribosomal RNA (448 nucleotides) under uncultured bacterium. RNAcentral describes it as "partial 16S ribosomal RNA". It matches the Rfam family "Bacterial small subunit ribosomal RNA", at positions 338 to 795 of the family's 1533-position model. The record is from RNAcentral.